Molecule: ribosomal RNA, 254 nt
Filed under: uncultured bacterium
Lineage: Bacteria
Description: partial 16S ribosomal RNA
Rfam family: Bacterial small subunit ribosomal RNA
Source: RNAcentral
UACGUAGGGGGCGAGCGUUGUCCGGAAUCAUUGGGCGUAAAGAGCUCGUAGGCGGUUCAGCAAGUCGGCUGUGAAAUUCCGAGGCUCAACCUCGGAACUGCAGUCGAUACUGCUGUGACUCGAGUCCGGUAGAGGAGAAUGGAAUUCCCGGUGUAGCGGUGAAAUGCGCAGAUAUCGGGAGGAACACCGAUGGCGAAGGCAGCCCCCUGGGAUGAGACUGACGCUCAUGUACGAAAGCGUGGGGAGCAAACAGG